AGAGAUGCACUGGGUUUAAAGGGUGCGCAGGCGGUUUUGUAAGACAGAGGUGAAAUCCCCGGUCUCAACCUGGGAACUGCCUUUGUGACUGCAAGGCUGGAGUGCGGCAGAGGGGGAUGGAAUUCCGCGUGUAGCAGUGAAAUGCGUAGAUAUGCGGAGGAACGCCGAUGGCGAAGGCAAUCCCCUGGGCCUGCACUGACGCUCAUGCACGAAAGCGUGGGGAGCAAACA
RNAcentral lists this ribosomal RNA (230 nucleotides) under uncultured Alicycliphilus sp. RNAcentral's name for it is "partial 16S ribosomal RNA". It matches the Rfam family "Bacterial small subunit ribosomal RNA", at positions 548 to 774 of the family's 1533-position model. The record is from RNAcentral. Lineage: Bacteria; Pseudomonadati; Pseudomonadota; Betaproteobacteria; Burkholderiales; Comamonadaceae.